This 429-nucleotide ribosomal RNA is filed under the name Chloroflexota bacterium. RNAcentral's name for it is "Chloroflexi bacterium partial 16S ribosomal RNA". It matches the Rfam family "Bacterial small subunit ribosomal RNA", at positions 355 to 776 of the family's 1533-position model. Lineage: Bacteria; Bacillati; Chloroflexota. The record is from RNAcentral.
UGGGGAAUAUUGCACAAUGGGCGCAAGCCUGAUGCAGCCAUGCCGCGUGUAUGAAGAAGGCCUUCGGGUUGUAAAGUACUUUCAGUCGGGAGGAAGGUGGUAAGGUUAAUAACCUUAUCAAUUGACGUUACCGACAGAAGAAGCACCGGCUAACUCCGUGCCAGCAGCCGCGGUAAUACGGAGGGUGCAAGCGUUAAUCGGAAUUACUGGGCGUAAAGCGCACGCAGGCGGUUGAUUGAGUCAGAUGUGAAAUCCCCGGGCUUAACCUGGGAAAUGCAUUCGAAACUGGCAGGCUAGAGUCUUGUAGAGGGGGGUAGAAUUCCAGGUGUAGCGGUGAAAUGCGUAGAGAUCUGGAGGAAUACCGGUGGCGAAGGCGGCCCCCUGGACAAAGACUGACGCUCAGGUGCGAAAGCGUGGGGAGCAAACAGG